Molecule: long non-coding RNA, 592 nt
Organism: Labeo rohita (rohu)
Lineage: Eukaryota; Metazoa; Chordata; Actinopteri; Cypriniformes; Cyprinidae
Exons: 2
Source: RefSeq, a predicted model, not a curated record
UAAGGGCUGAUUGGUUGUUGCCCGUGAUGCGUCACGUCCGACUUUCCCCUUUGUGCCCGUGUUUACGGUGGUUACAGGUAAGCGCGCUGUGCUGUAACAGGCGGUUAUUUUAAAACUGGUUGGUCUUUUAAAGCGUUUUUCCCGGAAAUUAUAGUGUCGUUUUGGCCUGGUGUCAGUGUGUUGUCGGAGCUGCUUAGUGGAUCUAAUGACUGUUUGCCUCAGGAGCUGGGGUCCCACGGGUGAACGGAUCUUCCUCCUUGUGGUGGUGGUUCUUCUUUAUUGCGUGCUGUGUACCACUUUGAGUGUGUGGUAGUGUGAUCUGAGUGCACCUUGGUGUGUGUGUGUGUGUGUGCAUGAAAGUGUGCCCUUGUAAAACCAGACUCCAUUUUGUUUCCUGCCGUUGGGAGCCUCAGCCCUGCUAGUAUUUAUUUUGUUUUCAUAUUUAAAGUUGAUUUUGUGUCAUUACCUACAUUCAUUCUUUUUGUAAUUUCAUUUUCUUCCAUCUAAAGUGGGAUCUCCUGUUGUUCCUCUGACAUUUUAGUGUCUAUUUUAAAACAUUCUUGUAUUAAUAAACAUUUGUAUUUGUAUAUUA